UCCGUUAUGGUGUAGUGGCUAACAUUAUCGCCUCUCAUUGUCGUAGGAUGCACAGUGCGCGAUAGCCCAGGGUUCGAUUCCCUGUAACGGAA
Non-coding RNA from Marasmius tenuissimus, 92 nucleotides. NCBI's taxonomy places the organism in Eukaryota, Fungi, Basidiomycota, Agaricomycetes, Agaricales, Marasmiaceae. The record is from the annotation of a GenBank genome assembly.